UUAAACGCAAAAUCAGAGGAACCCUAAGCCUUUAACACGCUCUACCUUCUCCUUCCUCCAAAACCCAGACCACGCUUUGCCGUUCCCCCACACGCAAACACAACACCGCGUUCUUCUUCUCAUCAGUCAGUCAAACUCAAAACUCAACACCAUGACCCCAAAAUCCCUCUUCUUCUUCUCCACCACCCUCGCUCUUCUCAUCCUCCUCAUACCCAUCUCUGCCCAAAUCUCCGACCCGAACCCGAAACCGACCCAAUCCCUUUCUGCGGCCCACACUGAGCUCACCAACUAUGGCUUCCCAGUCGGACUCUUACCCUCCUCAGUCCAUGGCUACUCCAUAAACAAGACCUCCGGCGACUUCUCCGUCGAGCUCGACGGCGACUGCAAGAUCACUCUCCCGCCGGACAACUACCUCGCCACCUAUUCCAGGACAGUCAGGGGAAAGAUCGUUUCGGGUAAGAUCGCUAAGCUCGACGGGAUUCGGGUCCGUGCGUUGUUCAGGUGGUGGUCCAUCACCGGGAUCCGAUCCACCGGCGAAGACUUGGUGUUCGAGGUCGGCAUGGUCAGCGCCAAUUACCCCUCCAAGAACUUCAACGAGAGCCCCGAUUGUGAAGGUAAACACUCCUCUUCGUGAGUGAGCGAGUGAGGUAUGAAUUCAAAUCCCAAUUCAAUUCGCUCUUAAUUAGGGUUUUGAAUUGAUCAGAGAAAUUCGAGACUAAAGUAUGUGUUGUGCGUUAUGAUUAGUAUUGAAUUAACAUCUCUGAGUGAUAAUUCUUAAUUAGUAAUUAUUGAUUUAAAAUAUAAAAAUUGAUUGAAUCGAAUUGUGCUCUAUGUAUCUCGAUUAUUCCUGAAUAUUCUGUAUAGCACGAGCAAAAUAAAAUAGUUGCUGUCUUUUUUGAUUUUGUUUUAAUUUUAGUUUACUAGGCAUCUGUUUGUAUCGAAUAUGUUCUUUUCCAGAUUAAUUCCCUCUAAGGUAUUAGCCCAAACUGCCGACUCUUCCAAAGAAGGUAAUUCUUUUCUCUCUUUACGAUUAAAUCCGUUAGCACAAAUCGCAUUAGAUAUCUGUGAAACGUUUUAACUUUUAUUUAUUUUUACUAAUUCGUUAAUGUUUGAAUUGCUUUUCAGUUUGAUUAAAACUGCCGACUCUUCCAAAGAAGCUGAUUGAUAUAAAGCUUCCAAAGUAUUUUCACGAUCAGACAAACUUAACCAAAUUGAGCAUCUGUUUGGGUGUGGAGGAAAAAAACAAUGGAAGCACAAUCAAUUGUGAAGCUCAAGAACACAGUGUGAGCAGCUACACGUUGCAGAGAAAUCGAGGUAUCCACAAGCCAGUCAAAGUUGAUGACAGCCCUUCAAUGAUAGCUGAAAAUGGUGUGAGUAGCUCCAGCUUGUGCGAGCAUGAAAAAGUAUUGCAGGCACUGCGGACCGCUCAUGCAACAGCAGGAUAUAUUAAUGCUGCGAUGCAGAGAGCUCCCAGGAUCUCAGGCAGAGUUAUUCAAGCACAGAUGGAUACAGCAUUUACUAAUUCUAAGAUGCAGAGAAUUCGUGGGAACUCAGGCACAGUUAAGGUGGAGAGAGAUGGAUUUCUCAGCAAGUCAGAAGACAAAGCUGGCAGAACUUUGAUGAUAGCAACAAGCAUGGAUCCUGAUUUGUACAAGGCUAUAACAAAUAGGGACAUUGAUUUAAUCCAAAAAAGAAGGCAUGAUAUGGAACUUUCUCCUCUCUAUGACAAAACCCCUGAAUUGAAUACAAUCCUUCAUCUUGCUGCUGCAAGCUCAGACGAUGAAGAGUUUGUACAAGCAAUCCUCAGGAUCCAACUGUGCCAAAAAUUUGUCACAGAAAAGAACUCCAGCGGCAACCUUCCUCUUCAUGAAGCAGUAAAUGCUGGCCAUCUACAUAUAGUGAAACUUUUGGUCAUAUGGACUUACCAGCAGCUGCAAGAUCACUCUACUGGACCAUUGAGGGAGAAAAAUAAGGAGGAUAAUACUCCUCUUUACCUGCCCUUAAUUAACAAAUACCAAGCUGUGGGUUGUAACUUGGCCUUGGAAUCCAAGUACAAUGAAAUGGCCAAGUUCUUUGUACUUGGAUUGAUUUAUAGUUUUGGAUUGAUUUAUGACUAUUAUGCUACUAUUUUAAAGUUGAGUAUGGACAUUUUUAGUAAUGUUCACUUUCAUUAAGUGUUGUUUCUUUUACAUGUA
RNA transcript from Quercus robur (English oak), 2195 nucleotides. RefSeq lists it as uncharacterized. The record is from RefSeq and is a predicted model, not a curated record. Lineage: Eukaryota; Viridiplantae; Streptophyta; Magnoliopsida; Fagales; Fagaceae. The transcript is spliced from 4 exons.